RNAcentral lists this small nuclear RNA (140 nucleotides) under Camelus dromedarius (Arabian camel). Its description in RNAcentral is "U4 spliceosomal RNA (ENSCDRG00005015837.1)". It matches the Rfam family "U4 spliceosomal RNA". Rfam says of the family: U4 small nuclear RNA (U4 snRNA) is a component of the major U2-dependent spliceosome. Lineage: Eukaryota; Metazoa; Chordata; Mammalia; Artiodactyla; Camelidae. The record is from Rfam by way of RNAcentral.
AGCUUUGUGCAGUGGCAGUAUGGUAGCCAAUGAGGUUUACCCGAGGCACGAUUAUUGCUAAUUGAAAUCUUUUCCCAAUACCCCAAUACCUAACUUGAAAUAUAGUUGGCAUUGGCAAUUUUUGACACUCUCUGUGGAGA